RNAcentral lists this transfer RNA (69 nucleotides) under human gut metagenome. It matches the Rfam family "tRNA". From Rfam's summary of the family: Transfer RNA (tRNA) molecules are approximately 80 nucleotides in length. RNAcentral also lists the same sequence under 1 other name. The record is from RNAcentral.
AGGAAUAGUUCAGUCGGUAGAACGUCGGUCUCCAAAACCGAAUGUCGUGGGUUCGAGUCCUACUUCCUC